Molecule: long non-coding RNA, 1159 nt
Organism: Pundamilia nyererei
Lineage: Eukaryota; Metazoa; Chordata; Actinopteri; Cichliformes; Cichlidae
Exons: 3
Source: RefSeq, a predicted model, not a curated record
GCCUUCAUUUAAAGAAAAAGCGCCGCUGUUGGAAGAGUACAACAGUUCGUACGAAAGCCUUGUGUGUCUUCCCAGUAAUGGCGGCAUGCUCUUCACAGAGAGACACUCUCGCCCAGCGGAAUGGCUUCUUGACAGCCACCUUAAGAAGACAGGAACUAAUUACAAAAUGAUUUGAUUGUGACAGACUGCUAGUAACAAAAGUGUCUAAAGAAACAAAUUUAAUUAGUCUCUAAUUUUUCUGAUAUCUGUUAUGUGUAGAAAACCAGGUGUGGUUCAUCUUUUCAGUUAGGUUCCUUUUUUAUGGUUGAAUCAUUCAUAGGUCAAUACUAGGUGGUUCACUUAGCAUUGAUCAUUGGCUGAGGACUUUUGCACAGAACUGUUGCUUAAUAGAUUUAAAUAGUUAAUGGCUGAAUCAUUUGUGAAAGAUUUGUUGUGCAUUCACCCAAGGACUCCCACCUAAACUGUUAUUGAACAGCAGAGAGAGGAAAUGUUUAAUGCCUUUCCUGAGAAAAAAUAAUCAUCUUAAAGGUUAGUCCUAAUUAUAAGUGUUGUUCGCUGAGUUAUGUGCAUGUCAAGAGUUAUUGUGAAGUGUUUUCUACUUUGAUUAAAGCCAUUUUAAAAAUUAAGGCAGAGAGUUGAGAUACAUUGGAGAAAUAUCUGCAGUGUUGUACAAGACAACAGCCUGUACUAAGAGCUCAAACAGAUGUUUAGUGUCUAGCAGUGAGACUCUCUCUUGAAAUUCUUUCUCUCUCUCUCUCAUUCACUUGCUUCCUCUCUCUCCCUGUUAGUCCUUCCUUGAACUCUCAAGAACAUGCAAUUCCGAUCUGGUAAUCUAAACUCUGUGUGAUAUGAAAACAAAUAGUUUGUGUGGCCGUAGAACUCAAUUUAUUGUUUUGAACUGGAAUUUGGCACUUUAGGGGAUAUUUAAGACUAAACCUUCGUAAACAAUAGAGGCAUCGUGUUUAAAGGUUAUUACUGUAUUCAACCUCCUGGAGUGUUGGAUAGCAGAAUCAAAACAUAGCAGAAAAUCAUUUGUAAUAAAAAAAAAUAGGAAAGAAAUUAUGUUGUUCUUACAUAAGUUUUUAAAUUGAAGUACAUAAUGUGCACUAUGUGUGUCCUGACAAGCUUGAAUUGUGACCCAUCAUUAAAUACACAGUCA